UCGGACGUGGUGUACUGAACACGGCGAGUUGAACUUAGGGUGCGUGUGAAUGCAAUUGCUCGCAGUUCGGGGUUCAACUCCCCGCGUCCGAA
Molecule: non-coding RNA, 92 nt
Organism: Mycena rebaudengoi
Lineage: Eukaryota; Fungi; Basidiomycota; Agaricomycetes; Agaricales; Mycenaceae
Source: the annotation of a GenBank genome assembly